GAUGAAGAACGCAGCGAAAUGCGAUACUUGGUGUGAAUUGCAGAAUCCCGUGAACCAUCGAGUCUUUGAACGCAAGUUGCGCCCGAAGCCAUUAGGCCGAGGGCACGCCUGCCUGGGCGUCACACGUCGUUGCCCCCCCAUCUACUCCUUCGGGAUUGCGGGGGGCGGAUGAUGGCCUCCCGUGCGCCUCGCCGCGCGGUUGGCAUAAAUGCCAAGUCCUCGGCGACGCACGCCACGACAAUCGGUGGUUGCGAAACCUCGGUUGCCCGUCGUGUGCGGUCGUCGCGCAUCGAGGGCUCGAAAAAAUUGCCGGGUUCCGGCUCGGCUUUCAACGCGACCCCAGGUCAGGCGGGGUUACCCGCUGAAUUUAAGCAUAUCAAUAAGCGGAGGA
RNAcentral lists this unclassified non-coding RNA (391 nucleotides) under soil metagenome. RNAcentral's name for it is "partial contains 5.8S ribosomal RNA, internal transcribed spacer 2, and large subunit ribosomal RNA". The stretch from base 1 to 122 matches the Rfam family "5.8S ribosomal RNA", at positions 35 to 154 of the family's 154-position model. The record is from RNAcentral.